GCUUGCUGGGUGGUUAGUGGCGAACGGGUGAGUAACACGUGAGUAACCUGCCCUUGACUCUGGGAUAAGCACUGGAAACGGUGUCUAAUACCGGAUAUUUCAACUGGCCGCAUGGUCUGGUUGUGGAAAGAAUUUUGGUCAAGGAUGGACUCGCGGCCUAUCAGGUAGUUGGUGAGGUAAUGGCUCACCAAGCCUACGACGGGUAGCCGGCCUGAGAGGGUGACCGGCCACACUGGGACUGAGACACGGCCCAGACUCCUACGGGAGGCAGCAGUGGGGAAUAUUGCACAAUGGGCGAAAGCCUGAUGCAGCAACGCCGCGUGAGGGACGACGGCCUUCGGGUUGUAAACCUCUUUUAGUAGGGAAGAAGCGAAAGUGACGGUACCUGCAGAAAAAGCACCGGCUAACUACGUGCCAGCAGCCGCGGUAAUACGUAGGGUGCAAGCGUUGUCCGGAAUUAUUGGGCGUAAAGAGCUCGUAGGCGGUUUGUCGCGUCUGCUGUGAAAACUGGAGGCUCAACCUCCAGCCUGCAGUGGGUACGGGCAGACUAGAGUGCGGUAGGGGAGAUUGGAAUUCCUGGUGUAGCGGUGGAAUGCGCAGAUAUCAGGAGGAACACCGAUGGCGAAGGCAGAUCUCUGGGCCGUAACUGACGCUGAGGAGCGAAAGCAUGGGGAGCGAACAGGAUUAGAUACCCUGGUAGUCCAUGCCGUAAACGUUGGGAACUAGAUGUGGGGGCCAUUCCACGGUCUCCGUGUCGCAGCUAACGCAUUAAGUUCCCCGCCUGGGGAGUACGGCCGCAAGGCUAAAACUCAAGGAAUUGACGGGGGCCCGCACAAGCGGCGGAGCAUGCGGAUUAAUUCGAUGCAACGCGAAGAACCUUACCAAGGCUUGACAUAUACGAGAACGGGCCAGAAAUGGUCAACUCUUUGGACACUCGUAAACAGGUG
RNAcentral lists this ribosomal RNA (947 nucleotides) under Agreia pratensis. RNAcentral describes it as "bacterial SSU rRNA". It matches the Rfam family "Bacterial small subunit ribosomal RNA", at positions 78 to 1040 of the family's 1533-position model. The record is from RNAcentral. Lineage: Bacteria; Bacillati; Actinomycetota; Actinomycetes; Micrococcales; Microbacteriaceae.